RNAcentral lists this long non-coding RNA (291 nucleotides) under Mus musculus (house mouse). Its description in RNAcentral is "long non-coding RNA chr1:93652499-93652790". Lineage: Eukaryota; Metazoa; Chordata; Mammalia; Rodentia; Muridae. The record is from RNAcentral.
GCCGGGCAUGGUGGUGCAUGCCUUUAAUCCCAGCACUUGGGAGACGAAGGCAGGUGGAUUUCUGAGUCAAGGCCAGCCUGGUCUACAAAGUGAGUUCCAGGACAGCCAGGGCUGUACAGAGAAACCCUGUCUCGAAAAACAAAACAAAACAUCAAAAAAAGAAAGUCAGAAGGGAAACCAGAGGUUCCUUCUCCCUUACUUUUAAAGAAAGGCUCUCUCUGUGUAGCCCUGGAUGUCCUGAAAUUCACUGUAUAUACCAGGCUGGUCUUGAACUCACAGAAAUCCACCUGU